Molecule: non-coding RNA, 46 nt
Organism: Trichobilharzia regenti
Lineage: Eukaryota; Metazoa; Platyhelminthes; Trematoda; Strigeidida; Schistosomatidae
Source: Rfam
GUACUGCUGAAGAGUUCAAAACUAGGACGAAACAGCCGUCCAGUAC